This 433-nucleotide ribosomal RNA is filed under the name uncultured bacterium. RNAcentral describes it as "partial 16S ribosomal RNA". It matches the Rfam family "Bacterial small subunit ribosomal RNA", at positions 29 to 507 of the family's 1533-position model. The record is from RNAcentral.
AACGAACGCUGGCGGCAUGCCUAACACAUGCAAGUCGAACGAGACCUUCGGGUCUAGUGGCGCACGGGUGCGUAACGCGGGGGAACCUGCCCUUAGGUUCGGAAUAACUCCCCGAAAGGGGUGCUAAUACCGGAUAAUGUCUUCGGACCAAAGAUUUAUCGCCUUUGGAUGGGCCCGCGUUGGAUUAGCUAGUUGGUAGGGUAAAAGCCUACCAAGGCGACGAUCCAUAGCUGGUCAGAGAGGAUGAUUAGCCACACUGGGACUAAGACACGGCCCAGAAUCCUACGCAAGGCAGCAGAGGGGUAUAUUGGACAAUGGACGAAGGCCUGAUCCAGCACUGCCGGGUAAGUGAUGAAGGCCUUAGGGUAGUAAAGCUCUUUUACACGGGGUGAUAAUGACGGUACCGGGAGAAUAAGCACCGGCUAACUCCGUG